RNAcentral lists this ribosomal RNA (396 nucleotides) under uncultured bacterium. RNAcentral describes it as "partial 16S ribosomal RNA". It matches the Rfam family "Bacterial small subunit ribosomal RNA", at positions 523 to 918 of the family's 1533-position model. The record is from RNAcentral.
AUACGUAGGUGGCAAGCGUUGUCCGGAAUUAUUGGGCGUAAAGCGCAUGUAGGCGGUUUGGUAAGUCGGUCGUGAAAAUGCGGUGCUUAACGCCGUAUGGCGAUUGAAACUGCUGAACUUGAGUGCAGGAGAGGAAAGGGGAACUCCCAGUGUAGCGGUGAAAUGCGUAGAUAUUGGGAAGAACACCGGUGGCGAAGGCGCCUUUCUGGACGGUGUCUGACGCUCAGAUGCGAAAGCCAGGGUGGCGAACGGGAUUAGAUCCCCCGGUAGUCCUGGCCGUAAACGAUGGUUACUAGGUGUGGGAGGUAUCGACUCCUUCCGUGCCGGAGUUAACGCAAUAAGUACCCCGCCUGGGGAGUACGGCCGCAAGGCUUAAACUCAAAUGAAUUGACGGGG